Molecule: ribosomal RNA, 468 nt
Filed under: uncultured bacterium
Lineage: Bacteria
Description: partial 16S ribosomal RNA
Rfam family: Bacterial small subunit ribosomal RNA
Source: RNAcentral
GACGAACGCUGGCGGCGUGCUUAACACAUGCAAGUCGAACGGAAAGGCCCUGCUUUUGUGGGGUGCUCGAGUGGCGAACGGGUGAGUAACACGUGAGUAACCUGCCCUUGACUUUGGGAUAACUUCAGGAAACUGGGGCUAAUACCCGAUAGGAGCUCCUGCUGCAUGGUGGGGGUUGGAAAGUUUCGGCGGUUGGGGAUGGACUCGCGGCUUAUCAGCUUGUUGGUGGGGUAGUGGCUUACCAAGGCUUUGACGGGUAGCCGGCCUGAGAGGGUGACCGGCCACAUUGGGACUGAGAUACGGACCAGACUCCUACGGGAGGCAGCAGUGGGGAAUAUUGCACAAUGGGCGGAAGCCUGAUGCAGCAACGCCGCGUGCGGGAUGACGGCCUUCGGGUUGUAAACCGCUUUCGCCUGUGACGAAGCGUGAGUGACGGUAAUGGGUAAAGAAGCACCGGCUAACUACGUG